UACAGAGACCUCAAGCGUUAUCCGGAAUCAUUGGGUGUAAAGCGUACCGAUAGGUGGUUUUACAAGUCAGAGGUGAAAUCCCAAGGCUCAACUUUGGGACUGUCCUUUGAAACUGUACAACUAGAGGGGCAAAGAGGAAGCUGGAACGAACGGUGUAGUAGUGAAAUGCGUUGAUAUCGUUCGGAACACCAAUAGCGUAGGCAGGCUUCUGGGUGCCACCUGACACUGCUAGGACGAAAGCGUGGGGAGCGAACAGG
This 257-nucleotide ribosomal RNA is filed under the name uncultured bacterium. RNAcentral describes it as "partial 16S ribosomal RNA". It matches the Rfam family "Bacterial small subunit ribosomal RNA", at positions 524 to 776 of the family's 1533-position model. The record is from RNAcentral.